Molecule: ribosomal RNA, 761 nt
Filed under: uncultured bacterium
Lineage: Bacteria
Description: bacterial SSU rRNA
Rfam family: Bacterial small subunit ribosomal RNA
Source: RNAcentral
AGAGUUUGAUCCUGGCUCAGGACGAACGCUGGCGGGUGCUUAACACAUGCAAGUCGAGCGGAAAGGCCCUUCGGGGUACUCGAGCGGCGAACGGGUGAGUAACACGUGAGGAACCUGCCCUGGACUUUGGGAUAACCCUCGGAAACGGGGGCUAAUACCGAAUACGACACUUCACCGCAUGNNGGGGUGUGGAAAGUUUUUCGGUCUGGGAUCUCGCGGCCUAUCAGCUUGUUGGUGGGGUAAUGGCCUACCAAGGCGACGACGGGUAGCCGGCCUGAGAGGGCGACCGGCCACACUGGGACUGAGACACGGCCCAGACUCCUACGGGAGGCAGCAGUGGGGAAUAUUGCACAAUGGGCGGAAGCCUGAUGCAGCGACGCCGCGUGAGGAUGACGGCCUUCGGGUUGUAANNCUCUUUCAGCAGGGACGAAGCGCAAGUGACGGUACCUGCAGAAGAAGCCCGCCAACUACGUGCCAGCAGCCGCGGUAAGACGUAGGCGCGAGCGUUGUCCGGAUUUAUUGGGCGUAAAGAGCUCGUAGGCGGCUUGUCCGUCGACUGUGAAAACCCGCGGCUCAACUGCGGGCCUGCAGCCGAUACGGGCAGGCUAGAGUUCGGUAGGGGAGACUGGAAUUCCUGGUGUAGCGGUGAAAUGCGCAGAUAUCAGGAGGAACACCGGUGGCGAAGGCGGGUCUCUGGGCCGAUACUGACGCUGAGGAGCGAAAGCGUGGGGAGCGAACAGGAUUAGAUACCCUAGUAGUCC